This 644-nucleotide ribosomal RNA is filed under the name Escherichia coli. RNAcentral's name for it is "partial 23S ribosomal RNA". It matches the Rfam family "Bacterial large subunit ribosomal RNA", at positions 2287 to 2925 of the family's 2925-position model. Lineage: Bacteria; Pseudomonadati; Pseudomonadota; Gammaproteobacteria; Enterobacterales; Enterobacteriaceae. The record is from RNAcentral. RNAcentral also lists the same sequence under 1 other name.
CUCCUAAAGAGUAACGGAGGAGCACGAAGGUUGGCUAAUCCUGGUCGGACAUCAGGAGGUUAGUGCAAUGGCAUAAGCCAGCUUGACUGCGAGCGUGACGGCGCGAGCAGGUGCGAAAGCAGGUCAUAGUGAUCCGGUGGUUCUGAAUGGAAGGGCCAUCGCUCAACGGAUAAAAGGUACUCCGGGGAUAACAGGCUGAUACCGCCCAAGAGUUCAUAUCGACGGCGGUGUUUGGCACCUCGAUGUCGGCUCAUCACAUCCUGGGGCUGAAGUAGGUCCCAAGGGUAUGGCUGUUCGCCAUUUAAAGUGGUACGCGAGCUGGGUUUAGAACGUCGUGAGACAGUUCGGUCCCUAUCUGCCGUGGGCGCUGGAGAACUGAGGGGGGCUGCUCCUAGUACGAGAGGACCGGAGUGGACGCAUCACUGGUGUUCGGGUUGUCAUGCCAAUGGCACUGCCCGGUAGCUAAAUGCGGAAGAGAUAAGUGCUGAAAGCAUCUAAGCACGAAACUUGCCCCGAGAUGAGUUCUCCCUGACUCCUUGAGAGUCCUGAAGGAACGUUGAAGACGACGACGUUGAUAGGCCGGGUGUGUAAGCGCAGCGAUGCGUUGAGCUAACCGGUACUAAUGAACCGUGAGGCUUAACCUU